Molecule: long non-coding RNA, 519 nt
Organism: Balaenoptera musculus (blue whale)
Lineage: Eukaryota; Metazoa; Chordata; Mammalia; Artiodactyla; Balaenopteridae
Exons: 3
Source: RefSeq, a predicted model, not a curated record
GGACAUCCCUCUUCUCCAGCAUUACCUGGGGCUCCCACAACAUCCCCACCUGGGGCAUGGAGGUCUGAGCGUUCCCUGAUGAUGUAUUACUCAGGCUGUAUUAUGAGAGGAGGAAUGAGGACAUUGGAAGGAUUAUUCUAAAAUCUCUAUUGAACUAAAUGCUACUCAUCUUGAUCUCCAGGCAGCUCUCACUGAUGUUGAAAAGAAAGACAUUUGCAGAUCUGGAGCUAUGGCUUAUCUUCAAGAUAAAAAGAUAUAAAAAUGAAGAAUUAAACAGUUAACAAAUGACUAGCUCUCUACCCUCAACAGCCCCCUUAAGCAAUCCUGCAGGUAGAUCACGCAGGCAAGAUCACAUCUGAAGAAAGUCAGCCAGUCUACCUAAUGGAGGAUGAUGCAGAACCCAACCUCCUGCCUCGAUGGUUCACUGAGAUUCUUCCCCUUUUUCCCCUUUAAAAACUGUCACAGCUGAGCAGAAUCUUUAAAGUUGGCCUCUGGACGUGAGUCCAACUUCUCCCCAGA